RNAcentral lists this ribosomal RNA (300 nucleotides) under uncultured Paracoccaceae bacterium. Its description in RNAcentral is "bacterial SSU rRNA". It matches the Rfam family "Bacterial small subunit ribosomal RNA", at positions 116 to 436 of the family's 1533-position model. Lineage: Bacteria; Pseudomonadati; Pseudomonadota; Alphaproteobacteria; Rhodobacterales; Paracoccaceae. The record is from RNAcentral.
CGUGGGAAUAUGCCCUUUACUAAGGAAUAGCCACUGGAAACGGUGAGUAAUACCUUAUACGCCUUCGGGGAAGGAUUAUCGGUAAGGAUUAGCCCGCGUUAGAUUAGAUAGUUGGUGGGGUAAGUGGCCUACCAAGUCUACGAUCUAUAGCUGGUUUGAGAGGAUGAUCAGCAACACUGGGACUGAGACACGGCCCAGACUCCUACGGGAGGCAGCAGUGGGGAAUCUUAGACAAUGGGCGAAAGCCUGAUCUAGCCAUGCCGCGUGAGUGAUGAAGGUCUUAGGAUCGUAAAGCUCUUU